UUUCCGUAGGUGAACCUGCGGAAGGAUCAUUAAAGUUAUAGUCCCCCGGCCCUCUGGGCUGGGGUCUUCUAUACCACCCUUUGUUUAUUACACCUUUGUUGCUUUGGCAGGCCUGCCCUCGGGCUGCUGGCUCCGGCCGGCUCGCGUUUGCCAGAGGACCUAAACUCUGUUUGUAUAUGAAGUCUGAGUACUAUAUAAUAGUUAAAACUUUCAACAACGGAUCUCUCGGUUCUG
This 234-nucleotide unclassified non-coding RNA is filed under the name plant metagenome. Its description in RNAcentral is "partial contains small subunit ribosomal RNA, internal transcribed spacer 1, and 5.8S ribosomal RNA". The record is from RNAcentral.